UUGCGACCCCAGGUCAGGCGGGAGCACCCGCUGAGUUUAAGCAUAUCAAUAAGCGGAGGAGAAGAAACUUACAAGGAUUCCCCUAGUAACGGCGAGCGAACCGGGAAUAGCCCAACUUGAGAAUCGGGCGA
RNAcentral lists this ribosomal RNA (131 nucleotides) under Ornithoboea puglisiae. RNAcentral's name for it is "partial 26S ribosomal RNA". It matches the Rfam family "Eukaryotic large subunit ribosomal RNA", at positions 1 to 128 of the family's 3401-position model. Lineage: Eukaryota; Viridiplantae; Streptophyta; Magnoliopsida; Lamiales; Gesneriaceae. The record is from RNAcentral.